GUCCUAUUUGACUUGGUCUCUAUCUAGAUUAUUUUUGAGAGAGUCUAACAUUUAUCCGAAGGUUAUUGGAUUUGUUAUGUUUAUUUUCAACAGAAAAUCAUUGGAACGUUGCAUUUUUAUUUUCAACGUAAAUUUUUAUGAAGCAACGGUAAUAUAUUUUCUGGUCUAUAAAAGGAACUAAGAUCAGUAUUGAAAACAACACUUACAACACUUAAAUUAAUAUUUUUGCACUCAUAUACUUUGGAAGCUAUUCUAUUCUUGGUGCAAAUUUUGAGCUGCUGAUCAAUUGAUAUUUUCAGUUAACUUUCAUGAGCUUCAUAUUGGUGAUAUCUAUCUUUUAUUACUUGAUCAUUGCAUUCACUAGUUGAGCCUUGCAUUGUUAAAUUGCUUAUUUGCUUUGAUCAUUAGACCUCUAUUAUUGUAAUCUUAAUUUGUUUUUAGACUAAGUGUUGUCUAAGGGAACAUAAUCCAGGUGGAUUAAGGUUUGUUUACAAACAGGUUCAAGGAAGCAUAG
Molecule: long non-coding RNA, 514 nt
Filed under: Panax ginseng (ginseng)
Lineage: Eukaryota; Viridiplantae; Streptophyta; Magnoliopsida; Apiales; Araliaceae
Description: long non-coding RNA (PGIN_LNC006852)
Source: RNAcentral